RNAcentral lists this ribosomal RNA (497 nucleotides) under uncultured bacterium. RNAcentral's name for it is "partial 16S ribosomal RNA". It matches the Rfam family "Bacterial small subunit ribosomal RNA", at positions 28 to 507 of the family's 1533-position model. The record is from RNAcentral.
GAUGAACGCUGGCGGCGUGCCUAAUACAUGCAAGUCGAGCGAACGGACGAGAAGCUUGCUUUUCUGAUGUUAGCGGCGGUCGGGUGAGUAACACGUGGAUAACCUACCUAUAAGACUGGGAUAACUUCGGGAAACCGGAGCUAAUACCGGAUAAUAUUUUGAACCGCAUGGUUCAAAAGUGAAAGACGGUCUUGCUGUCACUUAUAGAUGGAUCCGCGCUGCAUUAGCUAGUUGGUAAGGUAACGGCUUACCAAGGCAACGAUGCAUAGCCGACCUGAGAGGGUGAUCGGCCACACUGGAACUGAGACACGGUCCAGACUCCUACGGGAGGCAGCAGUAGGGAAUCUUCCGCAAUAGGCGAAAGCCUGACGGAGCAACGCCGCGUGAGUGAUGAAGGUCUUCGGAUCGUAAAACUCUGUUAUUAGGGAAGAACAUAUGUGUAAGUAACUGUGCACAUCUUGACGGUACCUAAUCAGAAAGCCACGGCUAACUACGUG